UUAAAUGAUAGCCAGUUCUCCUUAGCCUCGGUAGGGAUUGAGCAGGCAUUAACCCUUUGUGAACUGUAAUCUGUACUUGGGUACACUUACUCUUAGGGAGACGGUACCCGACAUUAUAAACCCCCUAUAUGUUUAACUGAAUAGAUCUAAGAGAAA
Molecule: unclassified non-coding RNA, 156 nt
Filed under: soil metagenome
Description: partial internal transcribed spacer 1
Source: RNAcentral